ACCUCGAAUUUCACCAUCUUUUUUCCAUAGAGCUUUCUUGCCCCUAUUUCCAUCAAAAUACAAUGAAUAAAAAUGUUUGAUCAUGAGAGAGUUCCA
This is a long non-coding RNA of Cucurbita moschata (crookneck pumpkin), 96 nucleotides long. RefSeq lists it as uncharacterized. The record is from RefSeq and is a predicted model, not a curated record. The transcript has 4 exons. Lineage: Eukaryota; Viridiplantae; Streptophyta; Magnoliopsida; Cucurbitales; Cucurbitaceae.